Molecule: long non-coding RNA, 994 nt
Organism: Gymnogyps californianus (California condor)
Lineage: Eukaryota; Metazoa; Chordata; Aves; Accipitriformes; Cathartidae
Exons: 4
Source: RefSeq, a predicted model, not a curated record
UGUGGUUGUUGCUGAUGUCUUCCUGUUCUGCGCUGGCACCGCAGAGGUACUUUUAUCUUCCAGAGUAACCAGCACUGAGGUCUCUCCCAUGGACAUUUCUUCUGCAGAAGAGUCCAGUUACAUCACUUUGAAGUUCCAAGCGACAUAUUUGCAAAGAGCCCCGAGGAAAUGUUUCCCAUCGAAGCUGGCUCCUGCAGGCUGCCGGAGGAGGUGGGUGCCCCGUGGGAAGGUGCUGCCAGCUCGGGUGUCCCCUCCUGUGACAGGCAAGGAGGCUGUGGCAUGAUGGCGUUUGCAGAAGAUGAAGAACAAGUCCUUUCACUGACACCUAGCAAACACCUGGAUGGACAGCCCAGCAUCCGCUCAGUGCUGAUGGCGAUGACCAGGCGUGCGUGAAAUGACUACUGCCGCUUCUUCCGUGCACGGCAAUGCUUGGCAGGGGCAAGGCCGGUGCCACUACACCAGGCGCUAUACGCUGGCAGCAGCAUCGUCCCUGCCCCGCAUGCUCACAGCCUGCAUGGCUGCCCCUGCAGCCCCAUGGCCGUUACUCUGGCUAUGUGCUACAGCAGACGAGACAGGAGAAUGUCCCUCCGAUGUGCACCGCCACUGGAUUAAAGUUAUACACGUUUGUAUGCAUUUGUAGGGAGAGAGGGAGCUUUUGCAGCAGCACAUAUGUGAGAGAGUGCUGCCAUCUUUUGGCUAUGCAAAUCAGGAGAGGUGUAGAGGAGUUAUAGAGGGGUCCUAUGGCAACUUGUAUUGGCUAGGAAAAUGUUGCUUAUGCACUACUUUUCUCUGUUUUGUAUGGUUUUACCUUUAUUCCCAUUACCAUGUAUUAUUCCCUUUACCAUAUGAAGUGACCCUGGGUGCGAGGGACGAGCCCUGAGCUGUGCUCAGCUCUGACCAAGGGGACACUGUGGUGGCUCCCAACAGCCCAAGCUGACCAUCCAAGCAAGCGUACUGUGUUGUGGGACACCAGCAUCCCUUUCUUCCAAACAAA